GAUGAACGCUGGCGGCGUGCCUAAUACAUGCAAGUCGAACGAACAUAGCAAUAUGUUAGUGGCGACCGGGUGCGUAACACGUAGCUGAUCUGCCCCUCAGCGGGGGAUAACUAUUCGAAAGAGUAGCUAAUACCGCAUAAUAUCGGGAUUUUUAGAAAGUCCCGCUUAAACUUACGGGGUUGAGGGAGGAGGCUGCGGCCCAUCAGGUAGUUGGUGAGGUAAAAGCUCACCAAGCCAAUGACGGGUAGGGGGCCUGAGAGGGUGGUCCCCCACACUGGGACUGACACACGGCCCAGACUCCUACGGGAGGCAGCAGUAAGGGAUAUUGCGCAAUGGGCGAAAGCCUGACGCAGCAACGCCGCGUGGAGGAUGAAGGCUUUCGGGUCGUAAACUCCUUUUGUCAGGGACGAGGAAGGACGGUACUGACGAAUAAGUCACGGCUAACUACGUGCCAGCA
Molecule: ribosomal RNA, 457 nt
Filed under: uncultured bacterium
Lineage: Bacteria
Description: bacterial SSU rRNA
Rfam family: Bacterial small subunit ribosomal RNA
Source: RNAcentral